This 446-nucleotide ribosomal RNA is filed under the name uncultured bacterium. RNAcentral describes it as "partial 16S ribosomal RNA". It matches the Rfam family "Bacterial small subunit ribosomal RNA", at positions 338 to 795 of the family's 1533-position model. The record is from RNAcentral.
CCUACGGGUGGCAGCAGUCGAGAAUCAUUCACAAUGGGGGAAACCCUGAUGGUGCGACGCCGCGUGGGGGAAUGAAGGUCUUCGGAUUGAAAACCCCUGUCAUGUGGGAGCAAAUUAAAAAGAUAGUACCACAAGAGGAAGCGACGGCUAACUCUGUGCCAGCAGCCGCGGUAAUACAGAGGUCUCACGCGUUGUUCGGAAUCACUGGGCGUAAAGCGUGCGUAGGCUGUUUCGUAAGUCGUGUGUGAAAGGCGCGGGCUCAACCCGCGGACGGCACAAGAUAAUGCGAGAAUAGAGGAAUGGAGGGGGAACCGGAAUUCUCGGUGUAGCAGUGAAAUGCGUAGAUAUCGAGAGGAACACUCGUGGCGAAGGCGGGUUCCUGGACAUUAACUGACGCUGAGGCACGAAGGCCAGGGGAGCGAAAGGGAUUAGAUACCCGGGUAGUC